This 922-nucleotide ribosomal RNA is filed under the name uncultured bacterium. RNAcentral's name for it is "bacterial SSU rRNA". It matches the Rfam family "Bacterial small subunit ribosomal RNA", at positions 1 to 916 of the family's 1533-position model. The record is from RNAcentral.
CCUUAGAGUUUGAUCCUGGCUCAGGAUGAACGCUAGCUACAGGCUUAACACAUGCAAGUCGAGGGGCAGCGGUAUCGAAAGCUUGCUUUCGGUAGCCGGCGACCGGCGCACGGGUGAGUAACGCGUAUCGAACCUGCCUCAUACUCGGGAAUAGCCUUGCGAAAGUAAGAUUAAUGCCCGGUGUUUUCAGAGUCCCGCAUGAGGCUUUGAACAAAGAUUUAUCGGUAUGAGAUGGCGAUGCGUCCCAUUAGCUUGUUGGCGGGGUAACGGCCCACCAAGGCAUCGAUGGGUAGGGGUUCUGAGAGGAAGGUCCCCCACAUUGGAACUGAGACACGGUCCAAACUCCUACGGGAGGCAGCAGUGAGGAAUAUUGGUCAAUGGGCGGAAGCCUGAACCAGCCAAGUAGCGUGCAGGAAGACGGCCCUCCGGGUUGUAAACUGCUUUUAGUUGGGAAUAAAACGGGGCUCGUGAGCCCCCUUGCAUGUACCAUCAGAAAAAGGACCGGCUAAUUCCGUGCCAGCAGCCGCGGUAAUACGGAAGGUUCGGGCGUUAUCCGGAUUUAUUGGGUUUAAAGGGAGCGCAGGCGGACCUUUAAGUCAGCUGUGAAAUACGGCGGCUCAACCGUCGAACUGCAGUUGAUACUGGAGGUCUUGAGUGCACACAGGGAUGCUGGAAUUCAUGGUGUAGCGGUGAAAUGCUCAGAUAUCAUGAAGAACUCCGAUCGCGAAGGCAGGCAUCCGGGGUGCAACUGACGCUGAGGCUCGAAAGUGCGGGUAUCAAACAGGAUUAGAUACCCUGGUAGUCCGCACAGUAAACGAUGAAUACUCGCGGUUUGCGAUACAGUGUAAGCCGCCAAGCGAAAGCGUUAAGUAUUCCACCUGGGGAGUACGCCGGCAACGGUGAAACUCAAAGGAAUUGACGG